Molecule: ribosomal RNA, 429 nt
Filed under: uncultured bacterium
Lineage: Bacteria
Description: bacterial SSU rRNA
Rfam family: Bacterial small subunit ribosomal RNA
Source: RNAcentral
UGGGGAAUUUUGGACAAUGGGGGCAACCCUGAUCCAGCCAUGCCGCGUGCGGGAAGAAGGCCUUCGGGUUGUAAACCGCUUUUGUCAGGGAAGAAAUGCUCUGGGCUAAUACCUCGGAGUGAUGACGGUACCUGAAGAAUAAGCACCGGCUAACUACGUGCCAGCAGCCGCGGUAAUACGUAGGGUGCAAGCGUUAAUCGGAAUUACUGGGCGUAAAGCGUGCGCAGGCGGUCGUGCAAGACAGGUGUGAAAUCCCCGGGCUUAACCUGGGAACUGCAUUUGUGACUGCACGGCUUGAGUACGGCAGAGGGGGAUGGAAUUCCGCGUGUAGCAGUGAAAUGCGUAGAUAUGCGGAGGAACACCGAUGGCGAAGGCAGUCCCCUGGGCCUGUACUGACGCUCAUGCACGAAAGCGUGGGGAGCAAACAGG